UACGUAGGGGGCUAGCGUUGUCCGGAUUUAUUGGGCGUAAAGAGCGUGUAGGCGGCCAGGUAGGUCUGGUGUGAAAACUCGAGGCUUAACCUCGAGAUGUCAUCGGAAACCAUCUGGCUAGAGUCCGGAAGAGGAGAGUGGAAUUCCUGGUGUAGCGGUGGAAUGCGCAGAUAUCAGGAGGAACACCAAUAGCGAAGGCAGCUCGCUGGGACGGUACUGACGCUAAGGCGCGAAAGCGUGGGGAGCGAACAGG
Molecule: ribosomal RNA, 253 nt
Filed under: uncultured bacterium
Lineage: Bacteria
Description: partial 16S ribosomal RNA
Rfam family: Bacterial small subunit ribosomal RNA
Source: RNAcentral